RNAcentral lists this unclassified non-coding RNA (334 nucleotides) under Hevea brasiliensis (rubber tree). Lineage: Eukaryota; Viridiplantae; Streptophyta; Magnoliopsida; Malpighiales; Euphorbiaceae. The record is from RNAcentral.
AGGGUAGACAAUUGGAAUCAUGCAGAAGCAAUUGUUUUCUUUAUUAAUGUAAGACAAGAACAUCGUAAUUAAUUAUACUCCUAUUCUUUAAAAUUUUUUAAUGGAAUGUUAGCCUGUAGCUAGAGAUCGACCAACCAGCAAAGCCAUGACGUCACUUGUUUUCUUGGCAACCAAGAUUAGAAUUUCCCGUUUAUAAUACUUCCAAAAAGAAAGAACAAAAUGCUCUUUUCUCGUAGCCAGCCAGAAGAAAUAUUGCAGCUACAAAUACCUCAAGCUCAUCAUCCUUAUCCUCAUAUUCUAUAAUUGGCGCCAAAAUGGAGAAAGCACAGCUUGU